RNAcentral lists this transfer RNA (73 nucleotides) under Cavia porcellus (domestic guinea pig). It matches the Rfam family "tRNA". From Rfam's summary of the family: Transfer RNA (tRNA) molecules are approximately 80 nucleotides in length. Their secondary structure includes four short double-helical elements and three loops (D, anti-codon, and T loops). Further hydrogen bonds mediate the characteristic L-shaped molecular structure. tRNAs have two regions of fundamental functional importance: the anti-codon, which is responsible for specific mRNA codon recognition, and the 3' end, to which the tRNAs corresponding amino acid is attached (by aminoacyl-tRNA synthetases). tRNAs cope with the degeneracy of the genetic code in two manners: having more than one tRNA (with a specific anti-codon) for a particular amino acid; and 'wobble' base-pairing, i.e. permitting non-standard base-pairing at the 3rd anti-codon position. Lineage: Eukaryota; Metazoa; Chordata; Mammalia; Rodentia; Caviidae. The record is from Rfam by way of RNAcentral.
GGGGGUUUAGCUCAGUGGCAUAAGCACCUGCCUUGCAAGCAGGCAGUCUUGAGUUCGAUCCUCAGUACCGAUA